RNAcentral lists this ribosomal RNA (253 nucleotides) under uncultured bacterium. RNAcentral's name for it is "partial 16S ribosomal RNA". It matches the Rfam family "Bacterial small subunit ribosomal RNA", at positions 524 to 776 of the family's 1533-position model. The record is from RNAcentral.
UACGAAGGGGGCUAGCGUUGUUCGGAAUUACUGGGCGUAAAGCGCGCGCAGGCGGUUCUUCAAGUCAGAGGUGAAAGCCCAGAGCUCAACUCUGGAAUGGCCUUUGAGACUAGAGAACUAGGGUACGGGAGAGGUGAGUGGAAUUCCGAGUGUAGAGGUGAAAUUCGUAGAUAUUUGGAAGAACACCAGUGGCGAAGGCGGCUCACUGGCCCGUUACCGACGCUCAGGCGCGACAGCGUGGGGAGCAAACAGG